UGGACCCUACGGGAGGCAGCAGUAGGGAAUAUUGCUCAAUGGGGGAAACCCUGAAGCAGCAACGCCGCGUGGAGGAUGAAGGUUUUCGGAUUGUAAACUCCUUUUAUUAGAGAAGAUAAUGACGGUAUCUAACGAAUAAGCACCGGCUAACUCCGUGCCAGCAGCCGCGGUAAUACGGAGGGUGCAAGCGUUACUCGGAAUCACUGGGCGUAAAGAGCGCGUAGGCGGGAUAGCAAGUCAGAUGUGAAAUCCUAUGGCUUAACCAUAGAACUGCAUUUGAAACUGUUAUUGUAUGGUAUG
This 300-nucleotide ribosomal RNA is filed under the name uncultured bacterium. Its description in RNAcentral is "bacterial SSU rRNA". It matches the Rfam family "Bacterial small subunit ribosomal RNA", at positions 332 to 650 of the family's 1533-position model. The record is from RNAcentral.